GUUUCCGCGCCGCAGCUAACGCAUUAAGUGCCCCGCCUGGGGAGUACGGCCGCAAGGCUAAAACCUCCCAGGAAUUGACGGGGGCCCGCACAAGCGGCGGAGCAUGCGGAUUAAUUCGAUGCAACGCGAAGAACCUUACCAAGGCUUGACAUGUUCUCGAUCGCCGUAGAGAUACGGUUUCCCCUUUGGGGCGGGUUCACAGGUGGUGCAUGGUUGUCGUCAGCUCGUGUCGUGAGAUGUUGGGUUAAGUCCCGCAACGAGCGCAACCCUCGUUCCAUGUUGCCAGCACGUCGUGGUGGGGACUCAUGGGAUAUUUUUUGGGUCAACUCGGAGGAAGGUGAGGACGACGUCAAAUCAUCAUGCCCCUUAUGUCUUGGGCUUCACGCAUGCUACAAUGGCCGGUACAAUGGGUUGCGAUACUGUGAGGUGGAGCUAAUCCCAAAAAGCCGGUCUCAGUUCGGAUUGGGGUCUGCAACUCGACCCCAUGAAGUCGGAGUCGCUAGUAAUCGCAGAUCAGCAACGCUGCGGUGAAUACGUUCCCGGGCCUUGUACACACCGCCCGUCAAGUCACGAAAGUUGGUAACACCCGAAGCCGGUGGCCUAACCCUUGUGGGGGGAGCCGUCGAAGGUGGGACCAGCGAUUGGGACUAAGUCGUAACAAAGGUAACCA
RNAcentral lists this ribosomal RNA (670 nucleotides) under Micrococcus sp. Its description in RNAcentral is "bacterial SSU rRNA". It matches the Rfam family "Bacterial small subunit ribosomal RNA", at positions 837 to 1502 of the family's 1533-position model. The record is from RNAcentral. Lineage: Bacteria; Bacillati; Actinomycetota; Actinomycetes; Micrococcales; Micrococcaceae.